RNAcentral lists this ribosomal RNA (550 nucleotides) under uncultured bacterium. RNAcentral's name for it is "bacterial SSU rRNA". It matches the Rfam family "Bacterial small subunit ribosomal RNA", at positions 355 to 896 of the family's 1533-position model. The record is from RNAcentral.
UAGGGAAUCUUCGGCAAUGGACGGAAGUCUGACCGAGCAACGCCGCGUGAGUGAAGAAGGUUUUCGGAUCGUAAAGCUCUGUUGUAAGAGAAGAACGAGUGUGAGAGUGGAAAGUUCACACUGUGACGGUAUCUUACCAGAAAGGGACGGCUAACUACGUGCCAGCAGCCGCGGUAAUACGUAGGUCCCGAGCGUUGUCCGGAUUUAUUGGGCGUAAAGCGAGCGCAGGCGGUUAGAUAAGUCUGAAGUUAAAGGCUGUGGCUUAACCAUAGUACGCUUUGGAAACUGUUUAACUUGAGUGCAAGAGGGGAGAGUGGAAUUCCAUGUGUAGCGGUGAAAUGCGUAGAUAUAUGGAGGAACACCGGUGGCGAAAGCGGCUCUCUGGCUUGUAACUGACGCUGAGGCUCGAAAGCGUGGGGAGCAAACAGGAUUAGAUACCCUGGUAGUCCACGCCGUAAACGAUGAGUGCUAGGUGUUAGACCCUUUCCGGGGUUUAGUGNCGCAGCUAACGCAUUAANCACUCCGCCUGGGGAGUACNACCGCAAGGNUG